UUUAAGCAUAUCACUCAGUGGAGGAAGCGCAAGCAACAGCGAUUGCUGCAGUAAUGGCGAAUGAAGGAGCAUCUCCAGUGCUCCAUCCGGAAGUGAGUGAUCAGACAACACGCCCUGGGGCAACCGCAGGUGCGAUCGGCUAUCGUGGAUUCUAGCAAAUGCUGUGGGCUGAGGGCCGGGAGGCCAGCGGCCGCGGUGGUCAUGGCGCCAGGAAGAGCCCUGGAAAGGGCCACAAUCGAGGGAUACUGUCCCCCAUGCUGGCUGUGCGCCGUGACCCACCGUGGUGCUGUCGACCGGACCCACGAGUAGAGUGGCUUGGGACUGCAGUUUGAAGUGCGAGGUGUAUCCAUCGCAAGGAAGUAUACCGACCUGGGACCGAUAGCGCACAAGUACAGUGAUGGAAGGAUGCAAAGAACUCCGUGAAGAGGGUUAAAAGUUCCUGAAGCCUCGGCAGGAACAGUGGCGAGUGAUAUGCUGUGGCUCCCGACCGGACAGGCGACCCCCGUUCCGUCCCCUCAACCAGGGCGGCGACGGUGGGUGUGCGGUCUCCGGUCGACGUCUCCGUGUAGUGGUUUCCCAAGCGACCUCGGGCCAGCCCCGGACCUGCCACUGAGCCUCCGUCCCUGGGGACGGGGAUCGCAGUCGUGGUGGUCUCGUGUGGUGGCACCCUGCCUGCCAGGGCCCGAGGCCUGCAGUGAUCGUGUCUCGAAGGUGCAAAAUGCAACACAGAAUCUCAACCAGGGCCAAUCGAAAGAGAGCAACCCCAAGCAGCUGGGGAGUAGUGGGGACGUGCGCAGCCAGGCCGUGGUCGACCCGUCGUUCGCAGUGUGGUCCCCCCAGCGGGGCGCGACGGAGGGUUCGCACCACCGCCCUGGGGUGAGAGGCAGUCCGCAGAGAGAGAGCACACCAAGGACGUUGUGGAUGUGCGCGUGUGGCUGGCUUGGGCAAGGCUUUCCAGCGGAUGGACAGAGUGCAAGAGGACAGAGCGCAGAUCAGCACGCUGAUCCCUGGCAUGCCUCCGGGCGUGCCAGUCACCGAGGCUCCCCUGUGGUGGGGUCGGUGGUCCCACGGUGACUGCACCAGCCUGCUGGUGGUCGCUGCGGUUGGCCAGUCCGAUCCCCCAGUGGGAGCGCGGUGCAGACAGCAGUGGAGCUUGGCCUGGCUUCGUGCCUCGACAGUGCCGCUCCCUGCCCGUCUUGAAACACGGACCAAGGAGUCUAUGGAGCCCGCGAGUCGUACGGUGCCCGUCGAUCGAAACCCCAGCGCAUGGUGAAAGCAAAAUCGUCCCAGUAUUGUGUCGGGAGUGAUCCCGGUUCUGCAUGAGAUACCGGAUCCGAAGUCCAGUGGACAGGGUUUUGAGUGCUUGCAAGGUCCAUGGGACCCGAAAGGUGGUGAACUAUACCGUUCUACGAUGAAGCCAUGGGAAACUGUGGUGGAAGUCGGUCGCUGUUCUGACGUGCAAAUCGUGUAGCCUGAGUGCGGCAUAGGGGUGAAAGGCCAAUCGAGCCACCUAGUAGCUGGUUCCCUUCGAAGUUUCCCUCAGGAUAGCUGGGCUCAAAUGGACCUCUGCAAAGUGGUUAUGUCCGGUAAAGCAACGCAUGAGAGGCAACUCUGGGGAGACUCUCUCCUCAACCUAUUCUCGAACUGUGAAUGGGCAUGGCAAACCCAUCAGGCAUGCUUCUUCACAAUGCCUGGAGUCCAUGUCACAGUGGUUCUCCUUGGGCUUCUGAGCAUGUUUGGCAAGAGUGGUGGCCUGUCUCUGUUAGAGUUCCCGAGCAGUCUCGUGCCCCCCUGUUGGGCCGGUCUGCCAAAGGAUGUCAUGUGAUGACUUGGAGCAAGCUGUCUCCAGAGCUGGUGAGAGAGCCCAUCAUCAAGAGAUGGCCACCUAUCUGCGUGUGAACACAAGUGCCUAUGUGGGCCAUGACUGGUAAGCAGUGCUGGCGAUGCGGGUUGCUCCGAGAGUGGAUUUACAGAUCCGGAAUCCUGGCUCAUACUCAGAUCCCACAAAGGAUGUCGAUUGUUCUGGAUAGCAGGUCGGUGGCCAUGAAGGUUGGAAUCCGCUGAGGAAUGUGUAACAACUCACCUGCCGAAACUUUCAGCUCCGAAAAUGGAUGGUGCCCAAGUCAGUGAAGCUCCCUCACAAUCCACCAUCGUUGUGGAAGCCAAAGCAGAGCAUCGUUGUGUAGAAAGGGCAUGAGAGAUUGCAGAGCUGGUCAGGGCCAACCCUGGCUGGAGUGUCUUCUGGUGCAGAUCUUGGUUGUAGUAGCGAGUACUCCAUCGGGUGAAGAGUGGAUAACCCCACAGUAUGCGAUUGAGGACUGGAGUGGAGCAGGUUUCCACACCAACAGCCGUUGAAUGUGGGUCAACCGACCGUGAGCCAAGUGGUAAGUUCACUGAACAACCAAAGCUGCCUGGGCCCUUGGGUUCUUGGAUUGGACACAACACUGGAUCACCUCCUGCAAAGGUUGUGACUGCUAAGGGUAAUAAUUGCUUCAGUGUCAGAGCCCAAAGGAGCACUGGCAGGAGUGGCAAACAGGCAAGCAUGUGCAACAUUCUGCUGUGAUGGGAUUGGGACAUUCAGGGAUGGCAACAUUCCUUUACACCGAGCAAGCUUCGGGGCAGUGAAGCCCCCGAGGAGUUAUCGUUUCCUCCUGAUGCAGACUCAUGUGGGCUAUCGAUUGGCAUUUCAUGAUGGUGGUGUAUGUCCUCCGCUCAGCAAGGCAGUGUGGCCUCCACACUGGUGGCCUCAGAAUUCGAACAUCACUUGCACCUGGACUGUGUGUCCUUGCUGCUGGCAAACCCGACCCAAUGGUGGUCACUGGCUCCAAUGAAAGGCUUGUGGGCUGCAGUGUCCCAGAUCCCUGGUCCUCGUACUGGAUCACCGCAGCCGGUCUCCUCGACAAGAAGUCGCUAGUCUACGGACGAAAUGCAGCUAAGGGAAGUCGGCAAACUGGCUGCGCACCUUCGGAAGAUGCAGUGGCUCCAGAGGCCAGGUCGAGAGGCCCUGUUGAGAGCUUUGUGGCUGCAGGGUGAUCGCCUUGUGGGGUGUCCUCGGAUGUUCUGCUUGGUCGAACCCCUCAGCUGCACUGUGACUGGCAGGGGUCAGAUCACUAGAUUUGGCCACCCUCUUGUCUACACAGUGGCUCAUGUGGAACUGAUGCCGUGCAGGGGAAUCUGACUGUUUAAUUGAAACACAGCUUUGUGAAGGGACCAGCUGGCUGGUGCCAUGAGGUGACUUCUGCCCAGUGCUCUGAUUGUCAAUGCGAAGAGAUUCAGCCAAGCGCGGGUAAACGGCGGGAGUAACUAUGACUCUCUUAAGGUAGCCAAAUGCCUCGUCAACCAAUUAUUGACGCGCAUGAAUGGAUCAACGAGAUUCCUGCUGUCCCUAGUCGCUGUCCGGCGAACCAACAGCCAAGGGAACGGGCUUGGAUGUGUCAGCGGGGAAAGAAGAGCCUGUUGAGAC
Molecule: ribosomal RNA, 3463 nt
Filed under: Euglena viridis
Lineage: Eukaryota; Euglenozoa; Euglenophyceae; Euglenales; Euglenaceae
Description: partial large subunit ribosomal RNA
Rfam family: Eukaryotic large subunit ribosomal RNA
Source: RNAcentral